AUACGGAGGGUGCGAGCGUUAAUCGGAAUUACUGGGCGUAAAGGGCGCGUAGGCGGUUAAAUCAGUCAGAUGUGAAAGCCCCGGGCUUAACCUGGGAAUGGCAUUUGAUACUGUUUAGCUAGAGUUUGGUAGAGGGGAGUGGAAUUUCCGGUGUAGCGGUGAAAUGCGUAGAGAUCGGAAGGAACAUCAGUGGCGAAGGCGGCUCUCUGGACCAAAACUGACGCUGAGGUGCGAAAGCGUGGGUAGCAAACAGGAUUAGAAACCCCGGUAGUCC
Molecule: ribosomal RNA, 274 nt
Filed under: uncultured bacterium
Lineage: Bacteria
Description: partial 16S ribosomal RNA
Rfam family: Bacterial small subunit ribosomal RNA
Source: RNAcentral